GAUGAAGAACGUAGUGAAAUGCGAUAAGUAAUGUGAAUUGCAGAAUUCCGUGAAUCAUCGAAUCUUUGAACGCACAUUGCGCCCCCUGGUAUUCCGGGGGGCAUGCCUGUCCGAGCGUCAUUGCAACCCUCAAGCGCGGCUUGUGUGUUGGGCUUCGUCCCCCCGUGGACGUGCCCGAAAGGCAGUGGCGGCGUCCCGAAUGGUGCCCGAGCGUAUGGGAACUCUCUUCCGCUCGAACCGGCCCAUUCGGCGCUGGUCGAACCCCAAUUUUUUACCGGUUGACCUCGGAUCAGGUAGGGAUACCCGCUGAACUUAAGCAUAUCAAUAAGCGGAGGA
Molecule: unclassified non-coding RNA, 336 nt
Filed under: soil metagenome
Description: partial contains 5.8S ribosomal RNA, internal transcribed spacer 2, and large subunit ribosomal RNA
Rfam family: 5.8S ribosomal RNA (bases 1-120)
Source: RNAcentral